GGGUUGUGAGGUUAAGCGACUAAGCGUACACGGUGGAUGCCCUGGCAGUCAGAGGCGAUGAAGGACGUGCUAAUCUGCGAUAAGCGUCGGUAAGGUGAUAUGAACCGUUAUAACCGGCGAUUUCCGAAUGGGGAAACCCAGUGUGAUUCGUCACACUAUCAUUACGUGAAUACAUAGCGUAAUGAAGCGAACCGGGGGAACUGAAACAUCUAAGUACCCCGAGGAAAAGAAAUCAACCGAGAUUCCCCCAGUAGCGGCGAGCGAACGGGGAGCAGCCCAGAGUCUGAAUCAGCUUGUGUGUUAGUGGAACGGUCUGGAAAGUCCGACGGUACAGGGUGAUAGUCCCGUACACCAAAAUGCACAGGUUGUGAACUCGAAGAGUAGGGCGGGACACGUGGUAUCCUGUCUGAAUAUGGGGGGACCAUCCUCCAAGGCUAAAUACUCCUGACUGACCGAUAGUGAACCAGUACCGUGAGGGAAAGGCGAAAAGAACCCCGGCGAGGGGAGUGAAAAAGAACCUGAAACCGUGUACGUACAAGCAGUGGGAGCCUCUUUAUGGGGUGACUGCGUACCUUUUGUAUAAUGGGUCAGCGACUUAUAUUCUGUAGCAAGGUUAACCGUAUAGGGGAGCCGAAGGGAAACCGAGUCUUAACUGGGCGUUAAGUUGCAGGGUAUAGACCCGAAACCCGGUGAUCUAGCCAUGGGCAGGUUGAAGGUUGGGUAACACUAACUGGAGGACCGAACCGACUAAUGUUGAAAAAUUAGCGGAUGACUUGUGGCUGGGGGUGAAAGGCCAAUCAAACCGGGAGAUAGCUGGUUCUCCCCGAAAGCUAUUUAGGUAGCGCCUCGUGAAUUCAUCUUCGGGGGUAGAGCACUGUUUCGGCUAGGGGGUCAUCCCGACUUACCAACCCGAUGCAAACUGCGAAUACCGAAGAAUGUUAUCACGGGAGACACACGGCGGGUGCUAACGUCCGUCGUGAAGAGGGAAACAACCCAGACCGCCAGCUAAGGUCCCAAAGUCAUGGUUAAGUGGGAAACGAUGUGGGAAGGCACAGACAGCCAGGAUGUUGGCUUAGAAGCAGCCAUCAUUUAAAGAAAGCGUAAUAGCUCACUGGUCGAGUCGGCCUGCGCGGAAGAUGUAACGGGGCUAAACCAUGCACCGAAGCUGCGGCAGCGACACUAUGUGUUGUUGGGUAGGGGAGCGUUCUGUAAGCCGUUGAAGGUGUAUCGUGAGGUAUGCUGGAGGUAUCAGAAGUGCGAAUGCUGACAUAAGUAACGAUAAUGCGGGUGAAAAACCCGCACGCCGGAAGACCAAGGGUUCCUGUCCAACGUUAAUCGGGGCAGGGUGAGUCGACCCCUAAGGCGAGGCCGAAAGGCGUAGUCGAUGGGAAACAGGUUAAUAUUCCUGUACUUGGUGUUACUGCGAAGGGGGGACGGAGAAGGCUAUGUUAGCCGGGCGACGGUUGUCCCGGUUUAAGCAUGUAGGCGGAGGUUCCAGGUAAAUCCGGUACCUUUUAACGCUGAGGUGUGAUGACGAGGCACUACGGUGCUGAAGUAACAAAUGCCCUGCUUCCAGGAAAAGCCUCUAAGCAUCAGGUAACACGAAAUCGUACCCCAAACCGACACAGGUGGUCAGGUAGAGAAUACCAAGGCGCUUGAGAGAACUCGGGUGAAGGAACUAGGCAAAAUGGUGCCGUAACUUCGGGAGAAGGCACGCUGAUAUGUAGGUGAAGUGAUUUACUCAUGGAGCUGAAAUCAGUCGAAGAUACCAGCUGGCUGCAACUGUUUAUUAAAAACACAGCACUGUGCAAACACGAAAGUGGACGUAUACGGUGUGACGCCUGCCCGGUGCCGGAAGGUUAAUUGAUGGGGUUAUCCGUAAGGAGAAGCUCUUGAUCGAAGCCCCGGUAAACGGCGGCCGUAACUAUAACGGUCCUAAGGUAGCGAAAUUCCUUGUCGGGUAAGUUCCGACCUGCACGAAUGGCGUAAUGAUGGCCAGGCUGUCUCCACCCGAGACUCAGUGAAAUUGAACUCGCUGUGAAGAUGCAGUGUACCCGCGGCAAGACGGAAAGACCCCGUGAACCUUUACUAUAGCUUGACACUGAACACUGGUCCUUGAUGUGUAGGAUAGGUGGGAGGCUUUGAAGUGUGGACGCCAGUCUGCAUGGAGCCAUCCUUGAAAUACCACCCUUUAAUGGCUGGUGUUCUAACGUGGACCCGUAAUCCGGGUUGCGGACAGUGUCUGGUGGGUAGUUUGACUGGGGCGGUCUCCUCCUAAAGAGUAACGGAGGAGCACGAAGGUUAGCUAAUCCUGGUCGGACAUCAGGAGGUUAGUGCAAAGGCAUAAGCUAGCUUGACUGCGAGAGUGACGGCUCGAGCAGGUGCGAAAGCAGGUCUUAGUGAUCCGGUGGUUCUGAAUGGAAGGGCCAUCGCUCAACGGAUAAAAGGUACUCCGGGGAUAACAGGCUGAUACCGCCCAAGAGUUCAUAUCGACGGCGGUGUUUGGCACCUCGAUGUCGGCUCAUCACAUCCUGGGGCUGAAGUAGGUCCCAAGGGUAUGGCUGUUCGCCAUUUAAAGUGGUACGCGAGCUGGGUUUAGAACGUCGUGAGACAGUUCGGUCCCUAUCUGCCGUGGGCGCUGGAGAAUUGAGGGGGGCUGCUCCUAGUACGAGAGGACCGGAGUGGACGCAUCACUGGUGUUCGGGUUGUCAUGCCAAUGGCAUUGCCCGGUAGCUAAAUGCGGAAGAGAUAAGUGCUGAAAGCAUCUAAGCACGAAACUUGCCCCGAGAUGAGUUCUCCCUGAGACUAUAAGUCUCCUGAAGGAACGUUAAAGACGAUGACGUUGAUAGGUCGGGUGUGUAAGUGUAGCGAUACAUUGAGCUAACCGAUACUAAUGAACCGUGAGGCUUAACCUUACAACGCCGAAG
Molecule: ribosomal RNA, 2927 nt
Filed under: Citrobacter freundii
Lineage: Bacteria; Pseudomonadati; Pseudomonadota; Gammaproteobacteria; Enterobacterales; Enterobacteriaceae
Description: 23S ribosomal RNA
Rfam family: Bacterial large subunit ribosomal RNA
Source: RNAcentral